AAGAUAUAUAGUAGAACUUCUAAUUCUUAACCUUCCUAUGGAAAUAUCUUA
This 51-nucleotide transfer RNA is filed under the name Histiostoma blomquisti. RNAcentral's name for it is "tRNA-Ser". Lineage: Eukaryota; Metazoa; Arthropoda; Arachnida; Sarcoptiformes; Histiostomatidae. The record is from RNAcentral.